RNAcentral lists this ribosomal RNA (253 nucleotides) under uncultured bacterium. RNAcentral's name for it is "partial 16S ribosomal RNA". It matches the Rfam family "Bacterial small subunit ribosomal RNA", at positions 524 to 776 of the family's 1533-position model. The record is from RNAcentral.
UACGGGGGGGGCAAGCGUUGUUCGGAAUUACUGGGCGUAAAGGGUUCGUAGGUGGCUUGCUAAGUCAGACGUGAAAUCCCUCAGCUUAACUGGGGAACUGCGUCUGAUACUGGCGAGCUUGAGUGCAGGAGAGGAACGCAGAAUUCCAGGUGUAGCGGUGAAGUGCGUAGAUAUCUGGAGGAAUACCGGUGGCGAAGGCGGCGUUCUGGACUGCAACUGACACUGAUGAACGAAAGCCAGGGGAGCAAACGGG